This is a long non-coding RNA of Perognathus longimembris pacificus (Pacific pocket mouse), 2281 nucleotides long. RefSeq lists it as uncharacterized. Lineage: Eukaryota; Metazoa; Chordata; Mammalia; Rodentia; Heteromyidae. The record is from RefSeq and is a predicted model, not a curated record. The transcript is spliced from 2 exons.
UGACUUUCCAACUUCUUUUUUUUCUUAUUAGCUUUUUUCUCUACCUCAUACACUAUGUAUAUUUCUCUGUUGGCUAGCUCUAAUACCAGAAUAGUUCUUGAAGUGUAGAGGGUUUUAAGCAUUACUGCCGUGUGUGUGUGUGUGUGUGUGUGUGUGUGUCUAUGUGUCUGUGUCUGUGUGUGCGGUUUUGAACCAUGAUCCUCAGAUCUCAGCCACUUGAGUAGCCAUUAGCCCUUGGCUCAUUACUGACUUCUCAAAACAGUGCCUAGCCUACUGCUGAGUGGUGGCGUUAAUUAGGCAAGUGUAGUCUAGCACUAUGGUAAAUAUCAGAGUAGGUAUCAAACGUUGUUCCUACCUCUGAGGAACAUGAAGCCCAGCCUGGAGAGUAGGAGAAUAGAUUCUUCUGGCAGUUCUUCUGUGAAGUUAAAAGAGAUGAGGAGGUAGAAAAAGGAAAGGGUAUUUUAUUUUCUCACUGCCUGGAUAUCCCUGAAAAUGUUGUGACACAAGAAGGCUGUGUUAUUUCCAUGUGGCUUUUUCCUACAAGCUGAAAAAUCUCUGUUAAGCCUUAAGGUUUUUUUAAGGCAGGGAUUAUGUACCCCUUGGGUUACCCAGACCCCACACAAGGGAUUGUGGUGAGGGUAGAAGCAAUAGGUCCACUUGCCCUUGUUUUCAGAGUUUAAAAUCAAGUUUAAGUUCUCAUCAGGGGUUUUAGAUACCUUUGUAGUUGACAGCAAGAAGAAAUGCAAUGUCAGAUGUCAGUACCUACACUUACCACGCUCAUUGAGGCAUAUAGGAAGCUUCCCGGGGUUUCAGUUAGACUAAAAGAACUCCAGAGUGGACCUGCAGUAUUUUACAUAAAUAAAAGCUCCCCUUGGCAAAACAUAUUUCUUUCCAAGUUCCUCUGGGUAUAUAUGGGCUUGUUAAGUAAUUAUAACCUAUUCUAAUGCUAAUUAGCUGAGCUGCACCUGUUUGAAAUUCAGUUUUCUGACAGGAACAUGUGAGGUGGCCACUAAUCUGUAUUGCAUUGGGAGCACUGAGAGGACAGGAAUACACUGUGUCACUGUCACAACAAAAUUCCAAAAGAGAAACUCAAGUCUAUCACCAAACAAACCCAAGUGCCCCACUUGAGGCCUUCUACCUCACCUUGAAGUGUCCCAGAGGUUGUUUUAAGCUAGUGAAAGUUACUUUGAUUUACAAAUGAGGAGUAUAAUUCACUGACUCCCUGACCUUCAGAGCUAUUUAUGACUGGAAAGGUAAUCAGUUAGGCUCAAGAAGGGGUUGGAAAAAUCAAAUUGGGUGAGUUUAAAUAUUGAAGAAAAGCAUGGUCUUUGAUUAUGCUCAUGUCUAUCUUGACUAUUUGUUUUCUCAUAUCCAGCAUAUCUUAGUACAACCUCCUUUCCCUCAGCAGUUAGGCAUCCUGUAAUCAGGCAGUAUAUUUCCUUCUCCCUUGCUGGCUCUCCAAUCGGGGUGUAGGCUGCUCAAGAAGUCCGUAUGACCCAUUCACUUAUUGGUUGAUUGAAUAAAAGGCUGUCUUUCCCAGUUCUGUCUUGCAGAGCUCAAUUAGGCAGCAUUCUCUAGUUCAGCUAACUUGGAUUGUGUUCUUAGACAUUCAUCAGCUGGUACAGUGUUGGAAAGGAAGAUGGUGGGCUACACAAAGAUGCUAAGCUGUGGCCCAAGUGAUAAGUGAUAUAUUCAUUCAGUUUGCUCACCAUUCUUUGUUUCAUCCAGCAAAUAUUUAUUGAAUACUUUUUGAGCCAGGCACCAUGUUGUGUGAGUGAGCAGAUUGCCUAAUAGGAGAAAUGACAUUAAUCAAGGAGUAUCAGAAAUACACCAGUGGAGAAGAAUAGCCUUAUCACAGUCCUUUCAAAGCCUGGCAAAGUCCUUUCAAAACCUCUUCUGAGUUGGAUUGGCUAAUAGUCUUCUUCUUAGACUGGAAAAGAAUGACCAAUCAAGGUGACUUCUUUAAAUCAGUAGUGUUGGACCUUAUCUUCUCCAUCUCUGAAAUAGGCAGUUAGCAUGAUUCAGAUGUCCUGUUAGGCUCCAUUAACAAGGAUUCUGGUUCUACUCUCUGUACUCCACAUUUUGGGCUUUGACUAUACGCAAUCUAGCACUUGAUAUUUUUUUAAAUUUUCACUGAAGCUGCCUGUGUGCUCCAUAAAAUUGCCAUCUUCUGUCCUCCCCUUUAUCUUUCUCUGUUGUUGCAAUCAAAAUCAAAAAACUGUUUUUGAUAGCUUGCUUCUUUGCCUAGUGCACACAGUCCACAAAAAGUAAACUGGAAAAA